GACGAACGCUGGCGGCGUGCUUAACACAUGCAAGUCGAACGGAAAGGCCCUGCUUGCAGGGUACUCGAGUGGCGAACGGGUGAGUAACACGUGGGUGAUCUGCCCUGCACUUCGGGAUAAGCUUGGGAAACUGGGUCUAAUACCGGAUAGGAACCAUCUUUAGUGUGGUGGUUGGAAAGUUUUUUCGGUGUAGGAUGAGCUCGCGGCCUAUCAGCCUGUUGGUGGGGUAAUGGCCUACCAAGGCGGCGACGGGUAGCCGGCCUGAGAGGGUGUACGGCCACAUUGGGACUGAGAUACGGCCCAGACUCCUACGGGAGGCAGCAGUGGGGAAUAUUGCACAAUGGGCGCAAGCCUGAUGCAGCGACGCCGCGUGGGGGAUGAAGGCCUUCGGGUUGUAAACUCCUUUCGCUAGGGACGAAGCUUUUUGUGACGGUACCUAGAUAAGAAGCACCGGCUAACUACGUG
Molecule: ribosomal RNA, 465 nt
Filed under: uncultured bacterium
Lineage: Bacteria
Description: partial 16S ribosomal RNA
Rfam family: Bacterial small subunit ribosomal RNA
Source: RNAcentral